This 75-nucleotide transfer RNA is filed under the name Parcubacteria group bacterium. RNAcentral describes it as "tRNA-Glu". It matches the Rfam family "tRNA". From Rfam's summary of the family: Transfer RNA (tRNA) molecules are approximately 80 nucleotides in length. Their secondary structure includes four short double-helical elements and three loops (D, anti-codon, and T loops). Further hydrogen bonds mediate the characteristic L-shaped molecular structure. tRNAs have two regions of fundamental functional importance: the anti-codon, which is responsible for specific mRNA codon recognition, and the 3' end, to which the tRNAs corresponding amino acid is attached (by aminoacyl-tRNA synthetases). tRNAs cope with the degeneracy of the genetic code in two manners: having more than one tRNA (with a specific anti-codon) for a particular amino acid; and 'wobble' base-pairing, i.e. permitting non-standard base-pairing at the 3rd anti-codon position. The record is from RNAcentral.
GCCGCUAUCGUCUAAUGGUCAGGACGCCAGGUUCUCAUCCUGGCAAUCGGGGUUCGAUUCCCCGUAGCGGUACCA